Cryptomeria japonica (Japanese cedar) is the source of this 754-nucleotide long non-coding RNA. RefSeq lists it as uncharacterized. The transcript is spliced from 2 exons. The record is from RefSeq and is a predicted model, not a curated record. Lineage: Eukaryota; Viridiplantae; Streptophyta; Pinopsida; Cupressales; Cupressaceae.
UCUUCCUCAUUUUGCAUUGUCCAUUUUCAUCUUCGCUGGAAGGUGCCGCCAAGGGUUUUCCUGUAGGCGAUAAUCCGCAGUUUUGUCGAUUUUGAGCCUCCAUUUGUGCCACCAUGGUCGAUUUUCUGGUCUCUUUUGAGCUAGGAGUGAUUCUUCCCCGGCCACUAUGCUGCACUUCACAUUUUUGAGGGUUUGUAUGAGCACCAACUGGAGGAAAUUUGGGCUCCGUUGCUGUGUGUUGGGCGUGGUUUUGGAAGGAUGAAGGGCGUAUUUUCUGCACCUUUCGAAGGCAUUUUUUUGAAAGCAUUACACUGGGAUUUUUGGUAAAAUGUGAAAAGCUGCAAAUUUGAGAAGCGACCAUUUUCUUUUGAUGAUUCGAAGUCGAAUCUAGGCCCAAAAGAAAUUAUACUUCUGCCGAUUCUACUAUUGGGCAAGAUUUUCUUAUUUCUGGGCGGAUUUCGCUGAGGGUUUAAAAAGAAUUUUUUGGACAGUGUUAUUCCGCCAUUACCUGCUGCCAUAGAUACCGGAAGGAAGGCAGAUGCAGACAAGGACAAAGCGGCAAGACAAAGGCAACAUCAAGGCUACUCCAACCGUACCAGUCAUUCAUACUCUCAACAUGUUCUCUUUUAUUUUGUACUCAUGUAUACAUGCCUAUGUAUUUCCUUCUUGCACCUGAUGCUUGUAGCUAGUCUCACGGCUCUUUGUGUGGGAUGCAUGCUUGAAUAUCAAUAAAAAUACUUCCUUUUUUAGAUGA